AAAAAGGCCAUGAAAAGAGCAGUAGUUAUUUUUAAAACUUACAGAGAGUUCCUUUUGCUGAGAUGGAACAGUGGACAAUUUAAUGAAACAAGUCUUGGAGCUGCAUACGGAUCCUAUUUUAUCCAUAGGUGAUGCUAUGACGUUUGUUCACGUUACAGAACUAGGGUAUAAUUUUGUACUUGAUAAGGUUAGUAUGGUGACAUACUAAUGAAAUAGGGUGGCAACGCGGUAUAAUCGCCCCUACA
RNAcentral lists this non-coding RNA (245 nucleotides) under Clostridium cellulovorans. RNAcentral describes it as "T-box sequence". It matches the Rfam family "T-box leader". From Rfam's summary of the family: Uncharged tRNA acts as the effector for transcription antitermination of genes in the T-box leader family. T-boxes are found upstream of many aminoacyl-tRNA synthetase genes and some amino acid biosynthetic genes usually in Gram-positive bacteria. The anticodon of a specific tRNA base pairs to a specifier sequence within the T-box motif, and the NCCA acceptor tail of the tRNA base pairs to a conserved bulge in the T-box antiterminator hairpin. Lineage: Bacteria; Bacillati; Bacillota; Clostridia; Eubacteriales; Clostridiaceae. The record is from RNAcentral.